CAGGAUGACAUACACAGUAUGCUAUUAAAAGCACAGUAACCCUUAUACUCAUAAGUUCCUAACCAUUCGUGGAUAGUUAGGAUGAAAGAAAGAAGAAAAAUUGAUUGAGAUAUUCAAAGAGAAGAAAAAUUGAGAAAUUUGAUUUCGCUUCAAUUUCUCUUCUCUAUCUCAUCAUAACCAUCCAUCAAAAUUAAUGAAUAAUUAGAAACUUAGAAACAUAAGGACUAUUGUGCUUUGAUGUUACAUUUGAAUUUAUAUUUUAAAAAUUUAAAUUUAAAAUAAUAUAUUUUGAAAUAUGAUAAAGAGAAGUAAUUAUUUCGGAUCCUGGUUUUGGAUUCGGUUUCGAAUUUUGAAAUUUUUGUUGGAUUCGAGUUUGGAUAUGAAUUUUUAAAAUCCGUCAGAUUCAUAUUCAAUUUUCAGAUUUGAUAAUCCCCCCUCCCCCUUUUUUCUUUUGGAUCAGCCAUUCAUAUCUCUAUAACUUAAAAUGAUCAACCAAUCACUAAUUUGCUGUCUAACUGUUUGCCAAAUGAAGCACCCAAAAUAUCUCUACGCAGAUUUUUUUUUUUUGAGAAAAAAAAAAUACUAUCCACUUCGUUUAUUUUUUAAAAAUAAACUUAAUUAGAAAUGUGAAACAAUUAGAUCAAAGUUCGAACUU
Molecule: long non-coding RNA, 655 nt
Filed under: Ananas comosus (pineapple)
Lineage: Eukaryota; Viridiplantae; Streptophyta; Magnoliopsida; Poales; Bromeliaceae
Description: long non-coding RNA (ACOM_LNC011057)
Source: RNAcentral